Anser brachyrhynchus (Pink-footed goose) is the source of this 139-nucleotide small nucleolar RNA. The record is from Ensembl. NCBI's taxonomy places the organism in Eukaryota, Metazoa, Chordata, Aves, Anseriformes, Anatidae.
CAUGCCCUGCCCCAGUCGUGUUGCAGAUGUGGCUGUAGUGCCAUGUUUGUGUCAUUAGGUGGCAGAAAGGAAAAGGCUACGUCUUUGCUAGUGCUCUGAAACCAGUGAGCGCUCAGAAAUGGCGAGCAACCUGACACUU